AAUGAUGAACCUUCUCAUGUAGUAGGGUCAUGUACCAUGGUACCUUCCACCCUGUGUUCUCAGCCAUGGUGGUACUGGUGAAGUUAGACUUGUUCUGAUGUCCCUCUCUAGCUGCUCCGGGGUCAUCGCCAUGUAAAGUCCAAAGACGAAAAAUAACCCUGAAGGAAGGAGAGAUGACUAGAAAGAAUCCGGUUGACCGCUUUAUGUGUGGAUUAAUUGUUGGAGUAGAGGACCUUGUGCAUUUCAGGUAAAAUAACAACUCAAUGUUUAUAUCCCAGGACAAAUAAGCUAGCUAAAUUGCCAUAAAUGUUUAAUGCUUUUCGACCUGUCCCCAAAUUAAUAUAAUUGGUUGAGAGUUUGUUUUGAUAUUUCGUGUCAUGAUCGCGUUUGGAGUGAGGGGACAAAAUCAAUUUGCGCACGAUGGCGGAUGCACUCGCGCGUCUGGUUUGGGCAUGGUGUAAUGGUUGUUUAAAUCUAAAAUUAGCUUGACGCGUUUUCGGUUAUCCUACAGACUCAGCGCAUUGCUACAUGGUACUUGAAGGAGAAUUGGAGGUUAAUAAUUUAUUACACUGUUUAGAUUGAGCACAUUUAAACGAAAGCUAAACUUCGUCAUGACGAUAUAAACGGAUGGAUGUGUUCCAGAUGAGGAAGGCCAUCUAUUGGCUGAUUUGGCGGCCUGGAGUGUAGGUCAUUGUUUUAUGAAAUGUGAUCCCAUAUCUCCAGUGACAAUAAUUAUGUAGCUAUGAAGUGUUCUCACACGAUUUCCUGAUUUUCACAACUUGGAAGUUACAUCAUGGGGAAAUGUUGUAUUUUACCCACUGAUAGAACAUAAACAUUCACCAAAUAAACAGGAGUUAUGUUUUUUAUUUCUGGGGGUGGAUUAUCCCUUUAAACUGUAUAGUGGUUAAUCAGUAGCCUUGCCUCAACCUAGUCAAAAUGCGAACCAAGGCAGGGUAAAAGAUGCAUUAUUUGUGUAUGUAGAAAUAAGUAACAAACAAGGACAUAUUUUAAUCUUGAUGAAUGACUAUUUGUAAUUUUACGACAAGCUAAGAUGUUCUUUCCCUUUAGUUUACAAUGUCUGUUCUGCCUCUAGUGACUCAGCUGCCUUCUGAUGUUUAUUAAGUCUGCUAAACUCACUCCAAUUUUCACUGUUAUUGAAAUAUGAAAAACUAUGGCCUUGUCAUUAUUAAUUCAUGUUUGCUUGUUGGUAACUUAGACAGGCAAGGGCCUCCAAGUGGCGCAGCGUCUAAAAAUGCUGACCAGACCGCACGCGCGCAUCUGAGUGCACCAUCGCCCGCAUGUUGAUUUUGUCCCCCCACACCAGAGAUCAGGACAGCAGGUUGAUUUUGUCCCCCCACACCAGAGAUCAAAACACACAGGUUGAUUUUGUCCCCCCACACCAGAGAUCAGGACAGCAGGUUGAUUUUGUCCCCCCACACCAGAGAUCAGGACAGCAGGUUGAUUUUGUCCCCCCACACCAGAGAUCAAAACACGCAGGUUGAUUUUGUCCCCCCACACCAGAGAUCAGGACAGCAGGUUGAUUUUGUCCCCCCACACCAGAGAUCAGGACAGCAGGUUGAUUUUGUCCCCCCACACCAGAGAUCAAAACACGCAG
Molecule: long non-coding RNA, 1615 nt
Filed under: Salmo salar (Atlantic salmon)
Lineage: Eukaryota; Metazoa; Chordata; Actinopteri; Salmoniformes; Salmonidae
Description: lncRNA (ENSSSAG00000084305.1, ENSSSAG00000096360.1)
Source: RNAcentral